This 494-nucleotide ribosomal RNA is filed under the name uncultured bacterium. Its description in RNAcentral is "partial 16S ribosomal RNA". It matches the Rfam family "Bacterial small subunit ribosomal RNA", at positions 31 to 507 of the family's 1533-position model. The record is from RNAcentral.
GAACGCUGGCGGCGUGCCUAAUACAUGCAAGUCGAGCGAACGGACGAGAAGCUUGCUUCUCUGAUGUUAGCGGCGGACGGGUGAGUAACACGUGGAUAACCUACCUAUAAGACUGGGAUAACUUCGGGAAACCGGAGCUAAUACCGGAUAAUAUUUUGAACCGCAUGGUUCAAAAGUGAAAGAAGGUCUUGCUGUCACUUAUAGAUGGAUCCGCGCUGCAUUAGCUAGUUGGUAAGGUAACGGCUUACCAAGGCAACGAUGCAUAGCCGACCUGAGAGGGUGAUCGGCCACACUGGAACUGAGACACGGUCCAGACUCCUACGGGAGGCAGCAGUAGGGAAUCUUCCGCAAUGGGCGAAAGCCUGACGGAGCAACGCCGCGUGAGUGAUGAAGGUCUUCGGAUCGUAAAACUCUGUUAUUAGGGAAGAACAUAUGUGUAAGUAACUGUGCACAUCUUGACGGUACCUAAUCAGAAAGCCACGGCUAACUACGUG